GAAGUAACACCGGGAGCUACUUUCUGCUCUGCAGGAUGACCUAAUAGACCUAACAGCAAAAGGGAUACUGGAGUAAUUAGUGACUAGGAAGCAGGACUUCAGAGAGGGUCACUAGGAAGGACACCUGGUAUCAGACUGUAUGAAACUCUGUUGGCAUCUUGUGGAGUCACAGAAGUGCUGGUGGCUGCCUUCUGGGUGACAGAAGCUUUCUUACCUUCAAGCCAUCACAGAACACUGCCUGUAGACCAGGAGAUCUAUGUUUCAAAUAGAUACAUAUCUCAGAACUAUUCUUUGAAGAUUCAUUGUAUUUCAACUUGUCAUCUUGCUUGAGAACAGGACACUAGCACUCAAAUUCCAGUGCUGAUGCACCAUCUGAGAAAGAGACUGGCAUACAGAACAAAAGAUAACCUAUGAAUGAUGGAAGCAGAUUUUGAAUGUAUUAGUUUUAAAGGCGUUCAGAUAAGAUGACACAAGGAACAUGAAAGGAGUUAUCUGGGAGUCUGACAGAAAGAAAAUGAAGAUAUAUGUGUGCCAUCAAGGUUAGCAUUUGCUUUGGAAAAAUAAAAUG
Molecule: long non-coding RNA, 568 nt
Organism: Passer domesticus (house sparrow)
Lineage: Eukaryota; Metazoa; Chordata; Aves; Passeriformes; Passeridae
Exons: 4
Source: RefSeq, a predicted model, not a curated record